CUGGCUCAGGAUGAACGCUAGCUACAGGCUUAACACAUGCAAGUCGAGGGCAGCACUGCGGGCGCUUGCGUCCGCUGGUGGCGACCGGCGCACGGGUGAGUAACGCGUAUCCAACCUGCCCGCAACCGCGGAAUAGCCCGCCGAAAGGCGGAUUAAUGCCGCAUGCCGUCGGGAGAGGGCAUCUGGCCCCGACGAAAGGUUCGUUCCGGUUGCGGAUGGGGAUGCGUCCGAUUAGGCAGCAGGCGGGGCAACGGCCCACCUGGCCAUCGAUCGGUAGGGGUUCUGAGAGGAAGGUCCCCCACAUUGGAACUGAGACACGGUCCAAACUCCUACGGGAGGCAGCAGUGAGGAAUAUUGGUCAAUGGGCGGAAGCCUGAAACCCAGCCAAGUAGCGUGGGGGAUGACGGCCCUACGGGUUGUAAACCCCUUUUUCGCGGGGAUAACCGGUCGCACUUGUGCGUCCCUGCAGGUACCGCGUGAAUAAGGACCGGCUAAUUCCGUGCCAGCCGCCGC
This 513-nucleotide ribosomal RNA is filed under the name uncultured bacterium. RNAcentral's name for it is "bacterial SSU rRNA". It matches the Rfam family "Bacterial small subunit ribosomal RNA", at positions 19 to 518 of the family's 1533-position model. The record is from RNAcentral.